Molecule: ribosomal RNA, 555 nt
Filed under: Triticum aestivum (bread wheat)
Lineage: Eukaryota; Viridiplantae; Streptophyta; Magnoliopsida; Poales; Poaceae
Description: partial small subunit ribosomal RNA
Source: RNAcentral
AUGACGAGUGAUGCAAAGGCAACGAUCAAGCAGCAUGGAUGGGAAAGACCAAAGAACAUCUAUGUGAAGCUAAACGUGGAUGGGGCUUUUGACCCUGACUUACUCAAAGGCUCGUAUGGCGCUGUCAUCAUAGAGCCGAAUGACAAAUUCGUCGCGGCAGGAAACGAGGAAAUCGAUUUGUGCGGAGAUGCGCUUAUGGCCGAGGCACUGACCUUACGGUUUGGUCUUAAUUUGGCAACUACAGUCGGGUGUAAUCGCACAGAGGUGAACUCCGACAACAUCGAGGUGAUAGAAACAAAGGAGAAUGGAGAUCGCUCUUUUGGUCUAUCAGCGACAGUUUUUGAUGAUAUAUACCACCUUGCGUGUGAUUUCCCGCAUAUUAUUUUUGAGCAUGCUUCUCGAGAGACUAAGGGCGUGUUCGGUUCCUUGGGUCGCGCCUGCCUCGCACCCGAGAUGCAAUAUCAAGCGUGUUUGGUUCCCUGUGCGGUCUUCUCGGCCUGGCCCGACGGAUGCAAAAGAGGAGACCUCAUAUAUGACGCAUUUUGCGUCAAAUAG